CCUACGGGAGGCAGCAGUGGGGAAUCUUGCACAAUGGGCGAAAGCCUGAUGCAGCGACGCCGCGUGCGGGACGAAGGCCCUCGGGUUGUAAACCGCUUUCAGCAGGGACGAGGCGAGAGUGACGGUACCUGCAGAAGAAGCCCCGGCUAACUACGUGCCAGCAGCCGCGGUAAU
RNAcentral lists this ribosomal RNA (174 nucleotides) under uncultured bacterium. RNAcentral describes it as "partial 16S ribosomal RNA". It matches the Rfam family "Bacterial small subunit ribosomal RNA", at positions 338 to 524 of the family's 1533-position model. The record is from RNAcentral.